CGGGCAUCUUCAGCUAAUUAUAUUUCUCAGCGGCAAUCUUAGAAUCAAGAACUUGUCAUUGGAUACAUGUAGUUUCAUUGGGAAUAGACCAUUUGAUUGGGAAGUCAAAGCCACCCUCUAGUUUACUCCUCACUAGGAUAUAUUUGUUACAGUUGAAAUAGAGAUGCCCAAUUUCAAAUUAUGGGUUCGCGACCCUUGCGAGCACUAAAUUACACCAUCCUGACUGAGGCCCUUCGUGUGUAGCCCUUCAACUGAUAUAUAUGCUGGAAGACACUGAGCAAGGGUGGCUCCUUUCGAAUACUACAGUUUAUGAAAUAAGCCACCAACGUCCACCAAGAUAGGCCAACAAGUUUCCCCAAUGCGAUCCUAUAUUCAUUCAAAGUAGUACAAAAGAAAAGAUUUAAUGUGAGGUGGAACCUAACUUCUAAUAGAUAAAGAGGUAGAAUGAACCUUCCUUUGGUGCCACUCAAUCGUCUCUCCCCUUGGACGAUUUUAAAAUCAUAAGAAAAUUUGGGCAACCGGAUUCCUCGAAUUUCUAAGUGUCAUACCAUUUCUUCCUUAUUUGUCAGGUAACGGUAGGCGGUACUUCAACUGACAUGCUAACUUUAUGAUUUUGGGGCUCCUUACCACCCUCAGUGGUCAAACUACUUUUGCGGCCUCAAUU
This 664-nucleotide long non-coding RNA is filed under the name Gossypium barbadense (sea-island cotton). RNAcentral's name for it is "long non-coding RNA (GBAR_LNC013562)". The record is from RNAcentral. Lineage: Eukaryota; Viridiplantae; Streptophyta; Magnoliopsida; Malvales; Malvaceae.